RNAcentral lists this ribosomal RNA (250 nucleotides) under uncultured bacterium. RNAcentral's name for it is "partial 16S ribosomal RNA". It matches the Rfam family "Bacterial small subunit ribosomal RNA", at positions 524 to 773 of the family's 1533-position model. The record is from RNAcentral.
GACGGAGGGUGCAAGCGUUGUUCGGAAUUACUGGGCGUAAAGCGCGUGUAGGCGGUCCGAUAAGUCGAGUGUGAAAGCCCGAGGCCCAACCUCGGAAGUGCAUUCGAAACUGUCGGGCUUGAGUACGGGAGAGGGAAGUGGAAUUCCAGGUGUAGCAGUGAAAUGCGUAGAUAUCUGGAAGAACACCAGUGGCGAAGGCGACUCACUGGACAUGUAUUGACGCUGAGGUGCGAAAGCGUGGGGAGCAAAC